ACCCGCUGAAUUUAAGCAUAUAAGUAGGCGGUGGAAAAUGAACCCAAAUGGGAUUCCUUAAGUAAUUGCGAAUGAACAAGGAAAUGCUCAGCUUGAAAAAUGGGGCCUUUGGCUUUGAAUUGUAAUUUUGAAAUGUAUUGCCAAUGGAGGCGCAGGUGCAAGCCUAUUGAAAGAAAGCGUCAAUGAGGGUGAGAUUCCUUUUUGUCAUUUGCAGUCCUCCGUGCACGGUAUAUAUUUGACGAGUCACACUCCUCGGCAUUGGAAUGCAAAGUGGGUGGUAAAUUCCAUGUAAAGGUAAAUAUAUUAUUGAGACUGAUAGCAAACAAGUACCAUGAGGGAAAUAUGAAAAGGACUUUGAAAAGAGAAUUAAAAGAGUCUGCAUUUGCUGAACAGAAAGCAAACAGAAUUGAUUUUACUUGGUGAGAUUGUUGUGCUUACUCUAUCAUUUAUAUGGUUGAUGUGGGUGCGAUGGUUCUUACCUUGAAUGUCAGCUUCUAUUUCUGCAAAUCAUUACCCUUGCACAUGAAUGGUAAUUUGCCUGCGGGUAUUGGAAUGCAUGUGUUUGCAAUGAUUUGUGAUUUGACGCAUGUGUUUGGUGAAAUUUGUAUAUGCUCUUUUGUCGAAGGGGAAAGCUUACUUUUUUGAGCAUUGCAAGCCCUUACACAUCAGUGCUGGCAAAAUGUUUCUGCUUGACCCGUCUUGAAACACGGACCAAGG
This 717-nucleotide ribosomal RNA is filed under the name Alexandrium minutum. Its description in RNAcentral is "partial 24S large subunit ribosomal RNA". It matches the Rfam family "Eukaryotic large subunit ribosomal RNA", at positions 23 to 671 of the family's 3401-position model. The record is from RNAcentral. Lineage: Eukaryota; Dinophyceae; Gonyaulacales; Pyrocystaceae.